GGGCUGGUAGCUCAGCGGUAGAGCAGUUGACUCUUAAUCAAUUGGCCGAGAGUUCGAAUCUCUCCCAGCCCACCA
This 75-nucleotide transfer RNA is filed under the name Rhodovulum sulfidophilum. RNAcentral's name for it is "tRNA-Lys". It matches the Rfam family "tRNA". From Rfam's summary of the family: Transfer RNA (tRNA) molecules are approximately 80 nucleotides in length. Their secondary structure includes four short double-helical elements and three loops (D, anti-codon, and T loops). RNAcentral also lists the same sequence under 2 other names. The record is from RNAcentral. Lineage: Bacteria; Pseudomonadati; Pseudomonadota; Alphaproteobacteria; Rhodobacterales; Paracoccaceae.